Long non-coding RNA from Sardina pilchardus (European sardine), 302 nucleotides. RefSeq lists it as uncharacterized. The transcript has 3 exons. The record is from RefSeq and is a predicted model, not a curated record. Lineage: Eukaryota; Metazoa; Chordata; Actinopteri; Clupeiformes; Clupeidae.
UGGAGAAACUCUUGCGCUGACCGAACCAUUGUGUCCACAGGGGGAGAAGGGCAAGAAGGGCAAAAAGGGGCCUAAGGGGGAGAAAGGAGAACAGGGUGCCCCUGGAUUAGAUGCACCCUGCCCGUUGGGUCCAGAUGGCCUACCCAUGCCAGGAUGCUGGCAGAAGUGAUUGGUCUAACUCAAACCGCAUGGAGUUUGUAAAUACUGCUUUGUUUUUAUUUUGUAUUUAUAGUUUUUUAUUUGAGAAGAUACUACAGAGAGAAUAGAAUGAAUAUAUUAUGUGUACACGAAGAGAAGGCGCA